UUUAGUUUCCGCGCCCUAUUA
This 21-nucleotide non-coding RNA is filed under the name Arabidopsis thaliana (thale cress). Lineage: Eukaryota; Viridiplantae; Streptophyta; Magnoliopsida; Brassicales; Brassicaceae. The record is from RNAcentral.